UGGACCAUGGUGUAAUUGGCAACACAACAGGUUUUGGUUCUGUCAUUCUGGGUUCGAGUCCCGGUGGUCCAA
This 72-nucleotide transfer RNA is filed under the name Bacteroidales bacterium. RNAcentral's name for it is "tRNA-Gln". It matches the Rfam family "tRNA". From Rfam's summary of the family: Transfer RNA (tRNA) molecules are approximately 80 nucleotides in length. Their secondary structure includes four short double-helical elements and three loops (D, anti-codon, and T loops). The record is from RNAcentral. Lineage: Bacteria; Pseudomonadati; Bacteroidota; Bacteroidia; Bacteroidales. RNAcentral also lists the same sequence under 1 other name.